RNAcentral lists this ribosomal RNA (443 nucleotides) under Ruminococcus bromii. RNAcentral's name for it is "bacterial SSU rRNA". It matches the Rfam family "Bacterial small subunit ribosomal RNA", at positions 337 to 796 of the family's 1533-position model. The record is from RNAcentral. Lineage: Bacteria; Bacillati; Bacillota; Clostridia; Eubacteriales; Oscillospiraceae.
UCCUACGGGAGGCAGCAGUGGGGGAUAUUGCGCAAUGGGGGCAACCCUGACGCAGCAACGCCGCGUGAAGGAUGAAGGUUUUCGGAUUGUAAACUUCUUUUAUUAAGGACGAAACUUGACGGUACUUAAUGAAUAAGCUCCGGCUAACUACGUGCCAGCAGCCGCGGUAAUACGUAGGGAGCAAGCGUUGUCCGGAUUUACUGGGUGUAAAGGGUGCGUAGGCGGCUUUGCAAGUCAGAUGUGAAAUCUAUGGGCUCAACCCAUAAACUGCAUUUGAAACUGUAGAGCUUGAGUGAAGUAGAGGCAGGCGGAAUUCCCCGUGUAGCGGUGAAAUGCGUAGAGAUGGGGAGGAACACCAGUGGCGAAGGCGGCCUGCUGGGCUUUAACUGACGCUGAGGCACGAAAGCGUGGGUAGCAAACAGGAUUAGAUACCCUGGUAGUCC